ACGUCGGGAUCGGAACCGGCCCACCUCUCCUUCCCCAGAGGGGAUUUCACGAGCUCCGGUUUGCAGCCCGGCACCCCUCGGAGAGUCCCUCCAGGGUGCCUGAGUCGCGCCCAGCCUGUGCCUUCACAACUCGAUGCAGGGACCCGGGGAGGCGCGCGAGGACCGACCGGUCACCGCUCCAAUUACCUCAUCGCUUUAGCUCCCCGCCCCUUUCCCAAACCUGGAAGAACUGUCCCCUCCGGCCCCGGUCACCGCUCCCGCCCCGCGUCCCCCCCACCCCGACCCCCCCGCCAACCCCGAUCCCGAGCGGGUCUCGGGGAAACGCGCCCGCCUCCUCGGGGGGCUGCCGAGCCCCGGGAUGCGCGCACCCAAGGGUUAAGGGCGCCGGCCGGCGGCCGCGCCGGGCGCUCGCGGUGCUCAGAGCGGCUCGCCCCGCCGGAGGGUGGCCCCCCCAACCCCCCCCACCCCCACCGAAGUCGGAUCCUUGAGCUGCGGCGGCGGCAGCCAACUGCUCCAUAUUUGGCUUCUAUUACACAUUUACAUACUGGAGCGAGCGAGCGAGCGAGCGCGAGAGAGCGCGAGGGAGGGCGGGCGGAGGGAGGAGGGAGGGGAGGAGGGGGGAGGAGGAGGAGAGAGCAGAGUAUACCGCAGACAUCAUUUCUACUACAGUGGCGGAGCCGUACAGGACCUGUUUCACUGCAGGGGGAUCCAAAACAAGCCCUGUGGAGCAGCAGCCAGAGCUACCGCAGCCGCAAGACACUGUUUCUCUCCCUCUGCCCCCCCUUCCCCACGCAACCCCAGAUCCAUUUACACUUUACAGAGGAUCCGGCUGCAAAUCACCGAGGUGUUCCGUUCAAGCUGCAGAUUCGUCUGUCGUCUUUGGACAGCGGUCUCCUCCUCCACGGCUGCCUCGGGGGAGCCCGACACCCAUCAGCAGUCUGGAGCAAAAUGAAAGAGCUGAUGUCGAGGCCUCCCAAGUAG
Molecule: long non-coding RNA, 981 nt
Filed under: Cervus hanglu yarkandensis (Yarkand deer)
Lineage: Eukaryota; Metazoa; Chordata; Mammalia; Artiodactyla; Cervidae
Description: lncRNA (ENSCHYG00000022303.1)
Source: RNAcentral